This 465-nucleotide ribosomal RNA is filed under the name Vreelandella stevensii. RNAcentral's name for it is "partial 16S ribosomal RNA". It matches the Rfam family "Bacterial small subunit ribosomal RNA", at positions 338 to 795 of the family's 1533-position model. Lineage: Bacteria; Pseudomonadati; Pseudomonadota; Gammaproteobacteria; Oceanospirillales; Halomonadaceae. The record is from RNAcentral.
CCUACGUGUGGCAGCAGUGGGGAAUAUUGGACAAUGGGCGAAAGCCUGAUCCAGCCAUGCCGCGUGUGUGAAGAAGGCCUUCGGGUUGUAAAGCACUUUCAGUGGGGAAGAAAGCCUUGGGGCUAAUACCCUCGAGGAGGGACAUCACCCACAGAAGAAGCACCGGCUAACUCCGUGCCAGCAGCCGCGGUAAUACGGAGGGUGCGAGCGUUAAUCGGAAUUACUGGGCGUAAAGCGCGCGUAGGCGGUCUGAUAAGCCGGUUGUGAAAGCCCCGGGCUCAACCUGGGAACGGCAUCCGGAACUGUCAGGCUAGAGUGCAGGAGAGGAAGGUAGAAUUCCCGGUGUAGCGGUGAAAUGCGUAGAGAUCGGGAGGAAUACCAGUGGCGAAGGCGGCCUUCUGGACUGACACUGACGCUGAGGUGCGAAAGCGUGGGUAGCAAACAGGAUUAGAUACCCGAGUAGUC